Camellia sinensis is the source of this 453-nucleotide non-coding RNA. NCBI's taxonomy places the organism in Eukaryota, Viridiplantae, Streptophyta, Magnoliopsida, Ericales, Theaceae. The record is from RefSeq and is a predicted model, not a curated record.
CUAAAAAAUGUAUGUUCAAAUCAUUACAUGCUUCAACUAUUGAUAUUUUGGGAAUCUCCAGCUACUACCGACACAAGUUGUGAGUUUGCAAUCAACUCUCCUCAACACUCUUUGAGGGCUGCUAAUGAUCCUAAGGCGUGACUCCAAAUUCUGAGAUUUCUGUUGAAUUAAGAACAUUUAGGAGUCUUAAAUAGUCAAUCAGAUUUGAACCUAUUGUAAGGUCUCUAAGUGUCCUUCUUUAUCGUUUGUCUUCUUCUGCAAUCAAGUGUAGCAAAGCAAACUUUUUUUUCCUUUAAUAGUUGGAAAUUGUGGAAGGAUUGAUCUUAUAUGGGCAUUAAAGUAGUGUCAGUAUACGUGUACGUGUCGAAAAAUGCUCAACUCUAAAUUGCUAAUUUUAUGUACGAUUCAAGUUGUAUUAUCAUGUUGUGUAGUAUAUACCACAUGAUUAGUUUU